This 519-nucleotide long non-coding RNA is filed under the name Mytilus galloprovincialis (Mediterranean mussel). The record is from RNAcentral. Lineage: Eukaryota; Metazoa; Mollusca; Bivalvia; Mytilida; Mytilidae.
GUCCUUAUUAAGUGCAUAUACUGAUCGAUAAGUUAACAGCAACAUAUAUGAUUUGCAAUUUGUAUCUUUUCUAUGUAACUAUAUUCACAUUAAACAUGUUAAACAAAGCAAUUAAAAAUAUAAAUCAUCUAACUGAAUGUGGUCAUAUAAUUAUGUUCAUUAGUGUCUAUCUUCCUUCUAAAUCAUUCGUGGUCCUAGCUCUAAACUAACCAUAAUAUUGUUUUUAAAAUUUUUAAAAAGCAGUAUGUGCUGCCUAUCGUGAGAUAGUAUGUAUAUGUCAAUAAAUAGCUCUUAGGUAGAACAAAUGCUUUUAGUGAUGACAAUCGUGAUGGUAUCAUUCAAUAUAUAUUAUAUCCUGACAUUGUUGUAUCAAUUUGUGUUGUUUAACUAACCUCUGAAUCAUGCUUUCCAUCAAAGGGAUCAACAAAAUAUAUUGUGUUUAUUUUAACAAAAUCGUUAUAAAGCUAUCUUAAAUAGUGAUGUUUGCGACUAAAUCCUGUUAAUUGUCAGGUAAACAUA